RNAcentral lists this small RNA (668 nucleotides) under Malus domestica (apple). RNAcentral describes it as "sRNA MD07G0114600". The record is from RNAcentral. Lineage: Eukaryota; Viridiplantae; Streptophyta; Magnoliopsida; Rosales; Rosaceae.
UCCUCCCUCUCGAUUCUCUUCUUUUUCCGUACGAACCGUACGGACAAACUCCAACCCUCACGAAACUUUGCAAAUCGAACCUUUAGAGGCCAUGUUUGAGUUCCUUGUAACCUUAGGAUCUUAACCAAACCAUUUUUAGGACGUGAAAGCUUCGGGAUCGUAAGAACCAAGAACCCCAAAUUGAGGUACUGUUCAUGCACACAUUAAUGUGGAGUUUUUGAGAGAUUUCAAGGUUAUAGGAAGCUUUAGAACGUCUUCACGAAGCUCGGAGAAGAAAAACGAAGUGUUUGGACGUCGAGAAGUCGAGUUUGGCGAGUUUCAAGUUUUGGCCGGAUUAUCGAGUUUUCUCCGUCGAGAUUCCGUGGAUUUCAAGCCUUGAAAUUGUUUUCCGGCGACGGCGACGGUCACCGGAGUCGAAGGAAGAAGAUGAGCGAAUAUUCCAGAAGACUUAUCCCGAGGACGAUUGCAGUCAAGGGCGACUCGGGGGCUACGACCCUUCGACAUACCAGUUUUAGGUAGACUUGUUGUUGGUGGCAUUUGUGGAUCUCGGUGGUUCUGACAAAAUAUAAUAUUCGUAGGACCUCUUCUGGUACUGUAUAACUAGUACUUGUCCUACUGGACUGCACCUAGACUUUCUACGCUCUGAUUAGGUGUAUUUACACUUGUAU